UGGGCUCAUCGUUCUCGUCCUCCGUCACUCGGAUAUACUCCGACAUCUUCGCUGGAAGUUACUGAAGUACAAAAGGGAAAGAGCAGGCGGGGCACCGAAACGCGCUAUUCAUUAACACUAAAGCCUCCGGGCCUGCUGUACACAUCGGCCCGUCCUGGAGCUACGGAGGUACCAACAGCGACUUGGUCCCCGAGCACGGCGGAAAUUCCCAGAGGCGCCAUGAGCUCCCCCCGCGAAGCCGGGAGCACAGCCCCCCUCGGCCUCGCCGUCUGCCGGGCCCGCCCAAGCCCGCGACCUCCGGAUGCGGCUCCACCCGCCCCAGCACCGCGCGCAGCCGGGCCGGGCCCCACCUGGCCCCGCUCACCGGCCAGGGAAGGGAGCGACGUCCCGAGAACCCCUCAGCACCGCCUCCACCACACUGUAUCCGCCGCCGCCGC
Molecule: long non-coding RNA, 437 nt
Organism: Vidua macroura (Pin-tailed whydah)
Lineage: Eukaryota; Metazoa; Chordata; Aves; Passeriformes; Viduidae
Exons: 2
Source: RefSeq, a predicted model, not a curated record